RNAcentral lists this ribosomal RNA (2907 nucleotides) under Salmonella enterica subsp. salamae. RNAcentral describes it as "23S ribosomal RNA". It matches the Rfam family "Bacterial large subunit ribosomal RNA". The record is from RNAcentral. Lineage: Bacteria; Pseudomonadati; Pseudomonadota; Gammaproteobacteria; Enterobacterales; Enterobacteriaceae.
GGUUAAGCGACCAAGCGUACACGGUGGAUGCCCUGGCAGUCAGAGGCGAUGAAGGACGUGCUAAUCUGCGAUAAGCGCCGGUAAGGUGAUAUGAACCGUUAUAACCGGCGAUUUCCGAAUGGGGAAACCCAGUGUGACUCGUCACACUAUCAUUAACUGAAUCCAUAGGUUAAUGAGGCGAACCGGGGGAACUGAAACAUCUAAGUACCCCGAGGAAAAGAAAUCAACCGAGAUUCCCCCAGUAGCGGCGAGCGAACGGGGAGGAGCCCAGAGCCUGAAUCAGCAUGUGUGUUAGUGGAAGCGUCUGGAAAGGCGCGCGAUACAGGGUGACAGCCCCGUACACAAAAGCGCACAUGCUGUGAGCUCGAUGAGUAGGGCGGGACACGUGGUAUCCUGUCUGAAUAUGGGGGGACCAUCCUCCAAGGCUAAAUACUCCUGACUGACCGAUAGUGAACCAGUACCGUGAGGGAAAGGCGAAAAGAACCCCGGCGAGGGGAGUGAAACAGAACCUGAAACCGUGUACGUACAAGCAGUGGGAGCACAGGUUUACCUGUGUGACUGCGUACCUUUUGUAUAAUGGGUCAGCGACUUAUAUUCUGUAGCAAGGUUAACCGAAUAGGGGAGCCGAAGGGAAACCGAGUCUUAAUUGGGCGUUAAGUUGCAGGGUAUAGACCCGAAACCCGGUGAUCUAGCCAUGGGCAGGUUGAAGGUUGGGUAACACUAACUGGAGGACCGAACCGACUAAUGUUGAAAAAUUAGCGGAUGACCUGUGGCUGGGGGUGAAAGGCCAAUCAAACCGGGAGAUAGCUGGUUCUCCCCGAAAGCUAUUUAGGUAGCGCCUCGUGAAUUCAUCUCCGGGGGUAGAGCACUGUUUCGGCUAGGGGGCCAUCCCGGCUUACCAACCCGAUGCAAACUGCGAAUACCGGAGAAUGUUAUCACGGGAGACACACGGCGGGUGCUAACGUCCGUCGUGAAGAGGGAAACAACCCAGACCGCCAGCUAAGGUCCCAAAGUCAUGGUUAAGUGGGAAACGAUGUGGGAAGGCCCAGACAGCCAGGAUGUUGGCUUAGAAGCAGCCAUCAUUUAAAGAAAGCGUAAUAGCUCACUGGUCGAGUCGGCCUGCGCGGAAGAUGUAACGGGGCUAAACCAUGCACCGAAGCUGCGGCAGCGACACUGUGUGUUGUUGGGUAGGGGAGCGUUCUGUAAGCCGUUGAAGGUGUGUCGUGAGGCAUGCUGGAGGUAUCAGAAGUGCGAAUGCUGACAUAAGUAACGAUAAAGCGGGUGAAAAGCCCGCUCGCCGGAAGACCAAGGGUUCCUGUCCAACGUUAAUCGGGGCAGGGUGAGUCGACCCCUAAGGCGAGGCCGAAAGGCGUAGUCGAUGGGAAACGGGUUAAUAUUCCCGUACUUGGUGUUACUGCGAAGGGGGGACGGAGAAGGCUAUGUUGGCCGGGCGACGGUUGUCCCGGUUUAAGCGUGUAGGUGUGUGUUCCAGGUAAAUCCGGUUCACUUUAACACUGAGGCGUGACGACGAGGCACUACGGUGCUGAAGCAACAAAUGCCCUGCUUCCAGGAAAAGCCUCUAAGCAUCAGGUAACAUCAAAUCGUACCCCAAACCGACACAGGUGGUCAGGUAGAGAAUACCAAGGCGCUUGAGAGAACUCGGGUGAAGGAACUAGGCAAAAUGGUGCCGUAACUUCGGGAGAAGGCACGCUGACACGUAGGUGAAGUGAUUUACUCAUGGAGCUGAAGUCAGUCGAAGAUACCAGCUGGCUGCAACUGUUUAUUAAAAACACAGCACUGUGCAAACACGAAAGUGGACGUAUACGGUGUGACGCCUGCCCGGUGCCGGAAGGUUAAUUGAUGGGGUCAGCGCAAGCGAAGCUCCUGAUCGAAGCCCCGGUAAACGGCGGCCGUAACUAUAACGGUCCUAAGGUAGCGAAAUUCCUUGUCGGGUAAGUUCCGACCUGCACGAAUGGCGUAAUGAUGGCCAGGCUGUCUCCACCCGAGACUCAGUGAAAUUGAACUCGCUGUGAAGAUGCAGUGUACCCGCGGCAAGACGGAAAGACCCCGUGAACCUUUACUAUAGCUUGACACUGAACAUUGAGCCUUGAUGUGUAGGAUAGGUGGGAGGCUUUGAAGCGUGGACGCCAGUCUGCGUGGAGCCGACCUUGAAAUACCACCCUUUAAUGUUUGAUGUUCUAACGUGGACCCGUGAUCCGGGUUGCGGACAGUGUCUGGUGGGUAGUUUGACUGGGGCGGUCUCCUCCUAAAGAGUAACGGAGGAGCACGAAGGUUGGCUAAUCCUGGUCGGACAUCAGGAGGUUAGUGCAAUGGCAUAAGCCAGCUUGACUGCGAGCGUGACGGCGCGAGCAGGUGCGAAAGCAGGUCAUAGUGAUCCGGUGGUUCUGAAUGGAAGGGCCAUCGCUCAACGGAUAAAAGGUACUCCGGGGAUAACAGGCUGAUACCGCCCAAGAGUUCAUAUCGACGGCGGUGUUUGGCACCUCGAUGUCGGCUCAUCACAUCCUGGGGCUGAAGUAGGUCCCAAGGGUAUGGCUGUUCGCCAUUUAAAGUGGUACGCGAGCUGGGUUUAGAACGUCGUGAGACAGUUCGGUCCCUAUCUGCCGUGGGCGCUGGAGAAUUGAGGGGGGCUGCUCCUAGUACGAGAGGACCGGAGUGGACGCAUCACUGGUGUUCGGGUUGUCAUGCCAAUGGCACUGCCCGGUAGCUAAAUGCGGAAGAGAUAAGUGCUGAAAGCAUCUAAGCACGAAACUUGCCCCGAGAUGAGUUCUCCCUGAGACUUAAAGUCUCCUGAAGGAACGUUAAAGACGAUGACGUUGAUAGGCCGGGUGUGUAAGCGCAGCGAUGCGUUGAGCUAACCGGUACUAAUGAACCGUGAGGCUUAACCUU